This is a small nuclear RNA of Pygocentrus nattereri (red-bellied piranha), 132 nucleotides long. Its record names the gene U5. It matches the Rfam family "U5 spliceosomal RNA". From Rfam's summary of the family: U5 RNA is a component of both types of known spliceosome. NCBI's taxonomy places the organism in Eukaryota, Metazoa, Chordata, Actinopteri, Characiformes, Serrasalmidae. The record is from Ensembl.
AGGCUCCAGCACCCCCCGUGACCCUGAUGGAGAAGUGGAUGGAUGCACAAAUCUUUUGCCUUUUACUAAAGAUUUCCGUGGAGGGAAACGUUGACGAGUUUUUAUUUUUGAAGGCUCUGCUAAGGCAGAGCU